CGAAAGCUGUGCUAAUACCGCAUACGAUCUACGGAUGAAAGCGGGGGAUCGCAAGACCUCGCGCGGACGGAGCGGCCGAUGGCAGAUUAGGUAGUUGGUGGGAUAAAAGCUUACCAAGCCGACGAUCUGUAGCUGGUCUGAGAGGACGACCAGCCACACUGGGACUGAGACACGGCCCAGACUCCUACGGGAGGCAGCAGUGGGGAAUUUUGGACAAUGGGCGCAAGCCUGAUCCAGCCAUGCCGCGUGCAGGAUGAAGGCCUUCGGGUUGUAAACUGCUUUUGUACGGAACGAAAAAGCUCUCUCUAAUACAGGGGGUGAAUGACGGUACCGUAAGAAUAAGCACCGGCUAACUACGUGCCAGCAGCCGCGGUAAUACGUAGGGUGCAAGCGUUAAUCGGAAUUACUGGGCGUAAAGCGUGCGCAGGCGGUUAUGUAAGACAGAGGUGAAAUCCCCGGGCUCAACCUGGGAACUGCCUUUGUGACUGCAUAGCUGGAGUGCGGCAGAGGGG
Molecule: ribosomal RNA, 512 nt
Filed under: uncultured bacterium
Lineage: Bacteria
Description: bacterial SSU rRNA
Rfam family: Bacterial small subunit ribosomal RNA
Source: RNAcentral